RNAcentral lists this ribosomal RNA (387 nucleotides) under uncultured eukaryote. RNAcentral's name for it is "partial 18S ribosomal RNA". It matches the Rfam family "Eukaryotic small subunit ribosomal RNA", at positions 592 to 976 of the family's 1831-position model. The record is from RNAcentral.
CAAUAGCGUAUAUUAAAAUGGUUGCGGUUAAAAAAGCUCGUAGUUGGAUUUCUGCUGAAGACGAUCGGUCCGCCCACUGGGUGAGUAUCUGGCUCGGCCUUGGCAUCUUCUUGGAGAACGUUGCUGCACUUGGCUGUGUGGUGCGGUAUCCAGGACUUUUACUUUGAGGGAAUUAGAGUGUUUCAAGCAGGCGCACGCCUUGAAUACAUUAGCAUGGAAUAAUAAGAUAGGACCUUGGUUCUAUUUUGUUGGUUUCUAGAGCUGAGGUAAUGAUUAAUAGGGAUAGUUGGGGGGGGGGGCAUUCGUAUUUAACUUUCAGAGGUGAAAUUCUUGGAUUUGUUAAAGACGGACUACUGCGAAAGGAUUUGCCAAGGAUGUUUUCAUUGA